RNAcentral lists this ribosomal RNA (547 nucleotides) under Leptolyngbya boryana tsf1f6. RNAcentral's name for it is "bacterial SSU rRNA". It matches the Rfam family "Bacterial small subunit ribosomal RNA", at positions 115 to 696 of the family's 1533-position model. The record is from RNAcentral. Lineage: Bacteria; Bacillati; Cyanobacteriota; Cyanophyceae; Leptolyngbyales; Leptolyngbyaceae.
GCGUGAGAACAUGCCUUUAGAUUGGGGACAACAGUUGGAAACGACUGCUAAUACCGAAUGUGCCUUAGGGUGAAAGAUUUAUUGUCUAGAGAUUGGCUCGCGUCAGAUUAGCUAGUUGGAGUGGUAACGGCACACCAAGGCGACGAUCUGUACUUGGUCUGAGAGGAUGACCAGGCACACUGGAACUGAGACACGGUCCAGACUCCUACGGGAGGCAGCAGUGGGGAAUUUUCCGCAAUGGGCGAAAGCCUGACGGAGCAAUACCGCGUGAGGGAGGACGGCUUUUGGGUUGUAAACCUCUUUUAUCAGGGAAGAAUCGAUGACGGUACCUGAUGAAUCAGCAUCGGCUAACUCCGUGCCAGCAGCCGCGGUAAUACGGAGGAUGCAAGCGUUAUCCGGAAUUAUUGGGCGUAAAGCGUCCGUAGGUGGUUUAUCAAGUCUGCUGUCAAAGCGUGCGGCUUAACCGCAUAAGGGCAGUGGAAACUGAUGAACUAGAGUGCGAUAGGGGUAACAGGAAUUCCCAGUGUAGCGGUGAAAUGCGUAGAUC